GACGAACGCUGGCGGCGUGCUUAACACAUGCAAGUCGAACGAAGUGGCGAACGGGUGAGUAACGCGUCUUCAACCUGCCCUUCAGAGGGGGACAACAGUUGGCAACGACUGCUAAUACCGCAUACUGAAGGUGGGGAUUGCGUCGGAUUAGCUAGUUGGAGGGGUAACGGCCCACCAAGGCGAGGAUCAGUAGCCGGUCUGAGAGGAUGAAGGGCCACAUUGGGACUGAGACACGGCCCAGACUCCUACGGGAGGCAGCAGUGGGGAAUCUUCCGACAUGGACGAAAGUCGUACGGAGCAACGCCGCGUGAGUGAUGACGGCCGUCGGGUUGGAAAGCUCUGUUAAUCGGGACGCGGUACCGGCAUAGAAAGCCACGGCUAACUACGUGCCAGCAGCCGCGGUAAUUC
This 408-nucleotide ribosomal RNA is filed under the name uncultured bacterium. RNAcentral's name for it is "partial 16S ribosomal RNA". It matches the Rfam family "Bacterial small subunit ribosomal RNA", at positions 28 to 526 of the family's 1533-position model. The record is from RNAcentral.